CGGAGGAUCCAAGCGUUAUCCGGAUUUAUUGGGUUUAAAGGGUGCGUAGGCGGCUUUUUAAGUCAGGGGUGAAAGACGGUGGCUCAACCAUCGCAGUGCCUUUGAUACUGAAGAGCUUGAUUACACUAGAGGUAGGCGGAAUGUGACAAGUAGCGGUGAAAUGCAUAGAUAUGUCACAGAACACCGAUUGCGAAGGCAGCUUACUAUGGUGUCAAUGACGCUGAGGCACGAAAGCGUGGGGAUCAAACAGGAUUAGAUACCCAGGUAGUCCACGCCCUAAACGAUGAAUACUCGAUGUUAGCGAUAUACAGUUAGCGUCAAAGCGAAAGCGUUAAGUAUUCCACCUGGGGAGUACGCCCGCAAGGGUG
Molecule: ribosomal RNA, 368 nt
Filed under: uncultured organism
Description: bacterial SSU rRNA
Rfam family: Bacterial small subunit ribosomal RNA
Source: RNAcentral